This 586-nucleotide long non-coding RNA is filed under the name Equus caballus (horse). RNAcentral's name for it is "lncRNA (ENSECAG00000043469.2)". Lineage: Eukaryota; Metazoa; Chordata; Mammalia; Perissodactyla; Equidae. The record is from RNAcentral.
AAUAUACCCUAAGGGAGCACAAAUCAUGGAAUCAUUAUGAUGAAAUCAACUAAACCAAGGAUUUGAUUGGUUCUGCAAGGAGUUCUAGAUGCUUAGCACAAGGAAUUAGGGCAGGAAUGGAAGAGAUAUUGGUAAUGAAAUGUACUAAGAAUUUCUAGAUUCGCGUACGGAAUGAGGCUUCUGAGGGCAAAACAACCAGUCAGAAAAAUUUACCCCUUUUGCAAUAGAUUGGGAGAUGCAGAUAAAAGUGCUAACUUUCCAACAAAGAAAAGGAGAAAAUAAGGAGCUCCUGCACAACAAUCAAAGAACGCAUUCCACUGUCUCUGAGAGGUUUCGGAUCCUCUCUCUUCAAGAGUGCCGCUUAAGGGAACAUGGCUGCCAACUUCUACAGGCUUCACAUACACAGUUUCACCAUGAAAGAAGCACUAUGCUGGGGUGCCCAAGAGUGCUGUUUCUGGAGACAGACUGCCUGAAUUCGAAUCCUCGCUCUGGGCAAAUUACUUACUCUUUCUGAACCUCAGAUUCCUUAUCUAUAAAAUGAGCUAAUAAUAGAGUCUACUUCAUAAGACUGUUUUGUGAAUUAAGG